This is a long non-coding RNA of Taeniopygia guttata (zebra finch), 2729 nucleotides long. NCBI's taxonomy places the organism in Eukaryota, Metazoa, Chordata, Aves, Passeriformes, Estrildidae. The record is from Ensembl.
UGUGUAAGUACUGAAUUGCUUCUACUGGUGCAGCUGGUCUGUAUUUAGCUAAAUUGGUGUUUUUAUCUGUAGGUAAAAGCCAAAGAAAGCUUUUCAGGGAUGGUUCUCACAAAAUGCUGAGGAACAGAGUCACUGAUGUUAUGGUGAUGGUCUCUUGGUAAACGUGUUGCUUAUCUUGCACAAGGUUAUGGAGAAGUGACACUUCAGAGGAGCAAUGUGCAGUAAUAUGGCAUCUGCUUGGCUUCCUUUUGGUGGAUUAUACUUGAAGAGUUUGAUCUAAUUACAGUUUAGAUGCCUGCCAUCUGAAGGAUUGAUACUCCCACACUCCUCUGGGGUUGAGUUUGCAGCUAGGAAUUGUAGUGUUUGGUACUAACAGCAGACACAGCCCUGGUUACUUGCAGAUGAUAUUCUGUGUGGGCUAGUGGUGCUCUCAGUGGUGGUGCUCUUUAUAGGAACACCAUACUUCAGCCAAGUGUUACAAGCUGACUCUGGAGAGUCAGCAUCACCAUCUGAGCAGAUUCAUAAGCUAGUAAAACCUACACCACUGCCCAGUCUACCUUUUUGCUAUGAAGCUGCAAAAACUCAGAUGAAAAACUACUUUUCUGAGAAUGCUACCCACGCUGCUAAUUUUUAAAUUGAGCAUAGAGUCACCAAGCCUUUUCCAGAACUCUUUAGGUAACUUCUCUUUCGAAGGAGUGAUUUUUAUAUUUGCUACAGCAAACUUAUCUACACCUGUACCCAGCUUGAGUGAUCAUUCUAUUAAAUGUCAAAGAGAGUAUCAGUCUGAGCCCAUGCUGUAGAACAGCUUCAGUGCCAGUUUCUCCAAGUGGCAGCUAGUGUGUGGCAGGGUAGUCAAACAAUAUCCUUUGUAUCAACAUUUCUUUGAGGGGCAGUGAGUGUUAUUUCUACAUGCUUAACUCAUCUUGCUGUAAAUUCUUGGCCUUGUUUCAAUAUGCCCCUUGAACCUGCUGCAGUAGUCUUAAUGCCUCAGUGUCAAUUUAUUGCAAAGUAAUUUUAUUUCCUCUUGCUACAUUCAUUAUUAUAGUAGUGUGAGGCAUUCUGGGAAGAAGUAGACCUACUCCCUCCAGAGCAGAGCACUGUUCUAUUUCAUACUUCUACCUGAAGUGUUUAUCCAGUAUCACAGUAAAAGGAAAUACCCCUUGCUUUACCAGGAUCCCUCAGUUGCUUUCAUGGCAAAUUCCAUCCUUGCCCGAUUCAAUUUGAAGAGCACCCCUGCAGCUGGGCAGUGUUCUGUUGUAGAUGCACAUGCCUUGUACUCGCCUGUAGUUACUGUGAUGAGCAGAAGCAAGCCUCCAGCUUGAAGAAUGCACCUGGGGCCCUCUCUGUAGCCAGUUUGCAGUUGCAGCUGUGAUCUGGGAUGUCUUUAUUUCUGAGCAUAUUCCCCUCCAAGGAUGUUCUUCAGUGUUUUCCUGUUUGCCUUCCCCAUUCUUGUGGCUGUAGCCUGUUCCUGAUGCAUGCAUUGAGAAACUGACUGUGAUGAGUCUGUGCACCUUGGUAAGGAGUCAGAGAACUGGAGCUCUCUGCCAUGUCAGUAUGAACUCAUGGCAAUGUGCCAUGAGCUUCCUAUUUUUAUAGGCAUGCUUAGAAAUUCCUGCUUUAAGGAUUACUUGCUGUGAAUAUGCUGACUCUUACAUGAUUAUCAGCCCAAAGUGAAAUCUAGUACAACUUAAGGGCUGUCAUCCCCACUAACUACAGCCAAAGCAGCACUUGGUUCUGCAUGGUAAGAUGUAGAAAAGGCUUAGCUGAUGUGAACUGUGCUUCACCGGUAGCUGAUGAAGGCUCCACAUGGUGAGUAGCAGGAAGGAGGCCCCUGCUUUCAUCAGCUACUGCAAGGCUCUGUGGCUUGGAUUCCAAUGCAGUGGGCAGCCAUAUUAAACAAGCAUUCCUUAAUCCUGUAGCAUUCUUCAUAGCUCUUUGUGUCAUCCCUCUUGCAUAAAUGUUUGAUGCAUUUACUGCUUGAUGCCCAAGUACAAUUCUGUACUUUCUAGCUGCUUUUCAGCUUUACUGCCAUGUCAUGUCCAUGAGAGCACACACUAACUGUGGGCAUUGGCUCCUAGACUCAGCAGGAAGGAAAGCUACUCCUGACCUUUUGUAAUUAUGCAAAGUGGAAGGGAACAGCCUUCAUUGUGCCAGUUCUUCAAAGCUAUCCUGAACUUGCUCUGUACAGAUUUUUCAUAAAGAGAUUCAUUUGCACAUGUUAGCUCAGUGCUGUAUUUGCUGCAUCUUACAGGAGCUGUCUGAUGUUUUGCUUGUUUCAGAACAGUUUUACUAUAGCUUUGGAUUUGGUACGGACCUGGCACCAGGUGAUGCAGGGUAACAGCUCAUGCAGUAGUUGAGUAAUUUUUGAAAAGCUUAAUGAAAUUAAAGCAAUAUCAAAAGACAGUCAUCUAACAUGAUUCUGCUCAAUAGGGCAGUCUCCACUAGCCAUUAUCAAUGGAGGAAGAUGUGUAACAUAAGAAUUACAUAUAUGAAUUCAGGUUUGAGUUUCAUGAGAAAUCCAUUAACAGCUUCAGAAGAUGCCUAGAAAAAUGCUGCUCCAAUGACAGGACAUAAAAGAAAAAAAAAUUACUUCAGGGCACCCAGCCCUCUGUCAGUGUUUAAUCUGUUCAGCUAAAGUAUUUAAACUCUAGCUUGUAAAAAUACACAAAAUGAGAGAUACAAUGUCUUUUAUUUUUACAAAAAAACUGGUAAAAGAUGAUGUAAAUAAA